This 376-nucleotide unclassified non-coding RNA is filed under the name uncultured bacterium. RNAcentral describes it as "contains 16S-23S intergenic spacer region". The record is from RNAcentral.
UCCGGUUUAUCACCGGCAGUCCCCGUAGAGUCCCCGCCAUUACGCGCUGGCAACUACGGGCAAGGGUUGCGCUCGUUGCGGGACUUAACCCAACAUCUCGCGACACGAGCUGACGACAGCCAUGCAGCACCUCGCUACCUGCCCGAAGGAAACCCCCUUUCAGGGGCUGUCAGGUAGCGUUCGAGCCUGGGUAAGGUUCUUCGCGUUGCAUCGAAUUAAGCCACAUGCUCCACCGCUUGUGCGGGCCCCCGUCAAUUCCUUUGAGUUUUAGCCUUGCGGCCGUAGUCCCCAGGCGGAAUGCUUAUCGCGUUAGCUGCGGCACAGGAGGGGUCGAUACCCCAUAUACCUAGCAUUCAUCGGUUAGGGCGUGGACUAC